RNAcentral lists this ribosomal RNA (492 nucleotides) under uncultured bacterium. RNAcentral's name for it is "partial 16S ribosomal RNA". It matches the Rfam family "Bacterial small subunit ribosomal RNA", at positions 29 to 507 of the family's 1533-position model. The record is from RNAcentral.
AGUGAACGCUGGCGGUAGGCCUAACACAUGCAAGUCGAACGGCAGCACAGUAAGAGCUUGCUCUUACGGGUGGCGAGUGGCGGACGGGUGAGGAAUACAUCGGAAUCUACUUUUUCGUGGGGGAUAACGUAGGGAAACUUACGCUAAUACCGCAUACGACCUACGGGUGAAAGCAGGGGAUCUUCGGACCUUGCGCGAUUGAAUGAGCCGAUGUCGGAUUAGCUAGUUGGCGGGGUAAAGGCCCACCAAGGCGACGAUCCGUAGCUGGUCUGAGAGGAUGAUCAGCCACACGGGAACUGAGACACGGUCCAGACUCCUACGGGAGGCAGCAGUGGGGAAUAUUGGACAAUGGGCGCAAGCCUGAUCCAGCCAUACCGCGUGAGUGAAGAAGGCCUUCGGGUUGUAAAGCCCUGUUGUUGGGAAAGAAAAGCAGCAGGUUAAUACCCCGCUGUUCUGACGGUACCCAAAGAAUAAGCACCGGCUAACUUCGUG